RNAcentral lists this ribosomal RNA (137 nucleotides) under uncultured eukaryote. RNAcentral describes it as "partial 18S ribosomal RNA". It matches the Rfam family "Eukaryotic small subunit ribosomal RNA", at positions 1299 to 1458 of the family's 1831-position model. The record is from RNAcentral.
UGGUGGAGUGAUUUGUCUGCUUAAUUGCGAUAACGAACGAGACCUUAACCUGCUAAAUAGCCCGAAUCGCUUUGGCGGUACGCUGGCUUCUUAGAGGGACUAUCGGCUCAAGCCGAUGGAAGUUUGAGGCAAUAACA